This 738-nucleotide ribosomal RNA is filed under the name Lacticaseibacillus casei. RNAcentral describes it as "bacterial SSU rRNA". It matches the Rfam family "Bacterial small subunit ribosomal RNA", at positions 60 to 771 of the family's 1533-position model. The record is from RNAcentral. Lineage: Bacteria; Bacillati; Bacillota; Bacilli; Lactobacillales; Lactobacillaceae.
AGUUCUCGUUGAUGAUCGGUGCUUGCACCGAGAUUCAACAUGGAACGAGUGGCGGACGGGUGAGUAACACGUGGGUAACCUGCCCUUAAGUGGGGGAUAACAUUUGGAAACAGAUGCUAAUACCGCAUAGAUCCAAGAACCGCAUGGUUCUUGGCUGAAAGAUGGCGUAAGCUAUCGCUUUUGGAUGGACCCGCGGCGUAUUAGCUAGUUGGUGAGGUAAUGGCUCACCAAGGCGAUGAUACGUAGCCGAACUGAGAGGUUGAUCGGCCACAUUGGGACUGAGACACGGCCCAAACUCCUACGGGAGGCAGCAGUAGGGAAUCUUCCACAAUGGACGCAAGUCUGAUGGAGCAACGCCGCGUGAGUGAAGAAGGCUUUCGGGUCGUAAAACUCUGUUGUUGGAGAAGAAUGGUCGGCAGAGUAACUGUUGUCGGCGUGACGGUAUCCAACCAGAAAGCCACGGCUAACUACGUGCCAGCAGCCGCGGUAAUACGUAGGUGGCAAGCGUUAUCCGGAUUUAUUGGGCGUAAAGCGAGCGCAGGCGGUUUUUUAAGUCUGAUGUGAAAGCCCUCGGCUUAACCGAGGAAGCGCAUCGGAAACUGGGAAACUUGAGUGCAGAAGAGGACAGUGGAACUCCAUGUGUAGCGGUGAAAUGCGUAGAUAUAUGGAAGAACACCAGUGGCGAANGCGGCUGUCUGGUCUGUAACUGACGCUGANGCUCGAAAGCAUGGGUAGCGA